UGAAGAAUGCUUGAGUGGUUGGUCUUGCCUUCUUAGGCCUCCGCCAUCCCUAGAAGUAUGCUCCAGGGAUCUGCUGACUGACUCUGUCUGACCUAUAAAAGAGCACAGUGUGAAGGAACAGUGCCAACUCACAAAUUACAGCUGAAGAGGAAUCAACCAGCCAAACCCAACUUGUGUGACCCAUGCCAAUAGCUGACAGACUGUGGAAUAAGAAUUCGCAUCUCUGGUGGUCUCUUGGGGGUCUUGUGACCAGAGCACAACAGUACUGGAGGAGUAGCUGAGAGUCCUACAUCUUGCAGGCAACAGGAAGUUGACCGAGAGUCACAUCAAGGGGAAGCUGAAGCAAAAGAGACCUCAAAGCCGACCCCCACAGGGACACACUUCCUCCAACAAAACCACACCUCCUAACAGUGCCAUUUCCUUUGGGGGCCAUUUUCUUUCACACCACCACACAGACCAUCAUGCAGCUACAGUGCUUCUGUUGCUGUCGUUGAACAAAGAAGGUGAAGGUGAAAAUCAACUGGUUAUCAAAAUGUUCAAAAGUAAAAUUAUUCACAGCGUGCCAAAGUACAUGAUGAUGAGUUUUUAAAUAUGGCUUCUUGAGCUUGUACUAUUGGAGAUCACUUUGAGGGUAUUCAUUGGCGUAUCAUCCCUAUCUUUUAAUUUGCCAUAAAAGAACCUCCAUUUUCCCCUUAGAAUGCUUCUUAAAAUUUACAUAAUAAAUUCAAGCCGGCUGUA
Peromyscus eremicus (cactus mouse) is the source of this 738-nucleotide long non-coding RNA. RefSeq lists it as uncharacterized. Lineage: Eukaryota; Metazoa; Chordata; Mammalia; Rodentia; Cricetidae. The record is from RefSeq and is a predicted model, not a curated record. The transcript is spliced from 2 exons.